AAGUCGUAACAAGGUAACCGUAGUAGUUUUGAUUCUGCUCAGGAUGAACGCUGGCGGCGUGCCUAAUACAUGCAAGUCGAACGAGUUCUCGUUGAUGAUCGGUGCUUGCACCGAGAUUCAACAUGGAACGAGUGGCGGACGGGUGAGUAACACGUGGGUAACCUGCCCUUAAGUGGGGGAUAACAUUUGGAAACAGAUGCUAAUACCGCAUAGAUCCAAGAACCGCAUGGUUCUUGGCUGAAAGAUGGCGUAAGCUAUCGCUUUUGGAUGGACCCGCGGCGUAUUAGCUAGUUGGUGAGGUAAUGGCUCACCAAGGCGAUGAUACGUAGCCGAACUGAGAGGUUGAUCGGCCACAUUGGGACUGAGACACGGCCCAAACUCCUACGGGAGGCAGCAGUAGGGAAUCUUCCACAAUGGACGCAAGUCUGAUGGAGCAACGCCGCGUGAGUGAAGAAGGCUUUCGGGUCGUAAAACUCUGUUGUUGGAGAAGAAUGGUCGGCAGAGUAACUGUUGUCGGCGUGACGGUAUCCAACCAGAAAGCCACGGCUAACUACGUGCCAGCAGCCGCGGUAAUACGUAGGUGGCAAGCGUUAUCCGGAUUUAUUGGGCGUAAAGCGAGCGCAGGCGGUUUUUUAAGUCUGAUGUGAAAGCCCUCGGCUUAACCGAGGAAGCGCAUCGGAAACUGGGAAACUUGAGUGCAGAAGAGGACAGUGGAACUCCAUGUGUAGCGGUGAAAUGCGUAGAUAUAUGGAAGAACACCAGUGGCGAAGGCGGCUGUCUGGUCUGUAACUGACGCUGAGGCUCGAAAGCAUGGGUAGCGAACAGGAUUAGAUACCCUGGUAGUCCAUGCCGUAAACGAUGAAUGCUAGGUGUUGGAGGGUUUCCGCCCUUCAGUGCCGCAGCUAACGCAUAAGCAU
RNAcentral lists this ribosomal RNA (917 nucleotides) under Lacticaseibacillus paracasei subsp. tolerans. RNAcentral's name for it is "bacterial SSU rRNA". It matches the Rfam family "Bacterial small subunit ribosomal RNA", at positions 1 to 867 of the family's 1533-position model. Lineage: Bacteria; Bacillati; Bacillota; Bacilli; Lactobacillales; Lactobacillaceae. The record is from RNAcentral.